This 701-nucleotide long non-coding RNA is filed under the name Physcomitrium patens. Its description in RNAcentral is "long non-coding RNA (PPAT_LNC008843)". The record is from RNAcentral. Lineage: Eukaryota; Viridiplantae; Streptophyta; Bryopsida; Funariales; Funariaceae.
AAAACUCUAAAUAAAUCCUAAAUAAAUUCUAAGUUAAAUCCUAAUUCAAAUUCUAAUUGAAUCCUAUUGAACUAUAGCCAAACUUUAGAUCAAACCCUAAUUAAAAUCCUAAUUAAUCUUAAUAAAAUCCUAAAUCAAAUCUUAAUAAAAUCUUAAUAAAAUCCUAAUAAAAUCCUAAAUCGUAAACUAGCUCUAAUAAAACCUUAGUGAAAUCCUAAUCAAACCCUAGGAAAAUUCUAAUCAAAUCCUAGUCAAAUCCUAAUCAAACCUAGAAAACAUCCUAAAUCCUAAGUAAAUCCUAAACAAAUCCUAAAUCCUAAUCAAAUCCUAAAUAAAUCUUAAUCAAAUCUUAGAUCCUAAACCAAUUCUGAUCAAUCAAUAAUCAAAUCUUAAAUCUUAAACAAAAUUCUUAACAAUCCUAUAGUAAAUUAAAAAUUCAAUAAUUAAUGAUUAAAUCAUUGAUUUUGAUUCAAACUUUGUAUACCUUGCAAAAACUGCCUUAGCAACAAGCAAAAAAACUUUGAAUAAGAUCACACAUACCAUUAGCAAGAAAAAUUCCCCAAACCUCUUCGCUGUUGGGUGCCCUCCUUCUCCAACUUGAACUUUGAUCUUUCAAUAUAGAUUUCUCUUUACUGAAUUAUUCAAUUGCUCCACAAUUUGAGUUUUAUAUAGAUAUUUUAGUCUAAAUUACUUUCACCAAU